AAUUCUUCAAACACAUCCGCGUUGCCUCCCGUAACUCAAUAAAGAAUCCUUCAGGCACUUCAGAAUCAGCCAUGAUCCCAUCACCACAAGCGUGCCAGUAUCCACCCUGCUGACCUUCAGGGGAAAAAACAUGUUUCAGCAUGGUGUGUUAGAAUGGAGAGUGGGUAACAAAAUAAUGGAUGACAGGAGCUAGACAUUUUUCAGACCAAGAAACAUAAAUGAGAAUGUUGGAUCAAGCUGUAAGUACCCACAGACACCAAUAUUGCAGGAAUGUUACACAAAUAUAUAAUGAACAUCAUCAUCUGUGUCUUGACAGUAAAUUUAU
Molecule: long non-coding RNA, 325 nt
Organism: Macrobrachium nipponense
Lineage: Eukaryota; Metazoa; Arthropoda; Malacostraca; Decapoda; Palaemonidae
Exons: 2
Source: RefSeq, a predicted model, not a curated record